Molecule: transfer RNA, 76 nt
Filed under: Oligella ureolytica
Lineage: Bacteria; Pseudomonadati; Pseudomonadota; Betaproteobacteria; Burkholderiales; Alcaligenaceae
Also listed under: 3 other names
Description: tRNA-Phe
Rfam family: tRNA
About the family: Transfer RNA (tRNA) molecules are approximately 80 nucleotides in length. Their secondary structure includes four short double-helical elements and three loops (D, anti-codon, and T loops).
Source: RNAcentral
GGCCAGGUAGCUCAGUCGGUAGAGCAGAGGAUUGAAAAUCCUUGUGUCGGGAGUUCGAUUCUCCCCCAGGCCACCA